RNAcentral lists this ribosomal RNA (169 nucleotides) under Atherinomorus insularum. RNAcentral's name for it is "partial 12S rRNA". The record is from RNAcentral. Lineage: Eukaryota; Metazoa; Chordata; Actinopteri; Atheriniformes; Atherinidae.
CACCGCGGUUAUACGAGAGGUCCAAGUUGAUAGCCCUCGGCGUAAAGAGUGGUUAAGAGAAAACCAAAACUAAAGCUGAAUACUCUCAAAACUGUUAUACGUUCUCGAGAGCAAGAAGCCCUUCUACGAAAGUGGCUUUAACCCUUCUGAACCCACGAAAGCUAGGAAA